This 476-nucleotide ribosomal RNA is filed under the name Coniochaeta sp. 11Af32. RNAcentral's name for it is "partial 28S ribosomal RNA". It matches the Rfam family "Eukaryotic large subunit ribosomal RNA", at positions 145 to 645 of the family's 3401-position model. Lineage: Eukaryota; Fungi; Ascomycota; Sordariomycetes; Coniochaetales; Coniochaetaceae. The record is from RNAcentral.
UGNANUUUGNNAGGAUGCUUUUGGUGAGGUGCCUUCUGAGUUCCCUGGAACGGGACGCCAGAGAGGGUGAGAGCCCCGUAUAGUCGGCCACCGAUCCUCUGUAAAGCUCCUUCGACGAGUCGAGUAGUUUGGGAAUGCUGCUCAAAAUGGGAGGUAUAUCUCUUCUAAAGCUAAAUAUUGGCCAGAGACCGAUAGCGCACAAGUAGAGUGAUCGAAAGAUGAAAAGCACUUUGAAAAGAGGGUUAAAUAGCNNGUGAAAUUGUUGAAAGGGAAGCGCUUGUGACCAGACUUGUGCCGGGCUGAUCAUCCAGUGUUCUCACUGGUGCACUCGACCCGGCUCAGGCCAGCGUCGGUUCUCGCGGGGGGGGAUAAAGCUUCGGGAACGUGGCACCUCCGGGUGUGUUAUAGCCCGCUGCUUAAUACUUCGCGGGACCNAGNUCCCNCUCUGCAGGACCUGGCAUAUGGUCAUCACNACC